AUUACUAUUCUAAACCAAAUCACACGGCGUCUUCACCGGCGAUUGGAUCUGGAGCUAUCGUCCUGGUUCAGAUGUCAGAUGAUGAAGACGAUGGGUGAUCGUGAUGGUGACACCCAGAGCUACAAGGCCAUGAGGAGUUCAAUAUGAUAUCACAAUGGUAUGAAGAAUAUCUGCUAUUGCCGGCGUGUUGUCUUUGUAGCAGCUCAUUGAGAAGUUAGGCUUUAAUAAUGUGACUGAUAAGCCAGCUGCACUUAAAAUGAUGAGAGAUGUAUGUGAAUCUGUUCUUGAAUCCUCUGAAAGGAAGCAAAGCUAGCACAUAGUGGCGGUGAUAUCUUGAAGAGUUACAGAGUGGCCGUGCGGAGGCAACUUGGGCAGGUUAACAAGGGAUUGCAUUGGAAUUAUUUCCGAUUAAGUAUUAGCUCUGGAUUACCACUAUUGCUGGUGUUAGUCCCGCUGUACUGGUGCCAUAGCUAUACUAUCUGGGUUGGCACUUCAGUUGAAUUCUGGAUUUAUUCUUUUGGUCUGGUUCUCUCCUUAUGAUUGUCUUCUACUGUAUGACCUGGUAUAUCAUACUUCAAAACAUGUUGGGCCUGUUUUUUUUGCGAUA
Long non-coding RNA from Aegilops tauschii subsp. strangulata, 607 nucleotides. RefSeq lists it as uncharacterized. NCBI's taxonomy places the organism in Eukaryota, Viridiplantae, Streptophyta, Magnoliopsida, Poales, Poaceae. The record is from RefSeq and is a predicted model, not a curated record.